Long non-coding RNA from Astatotilapia calliptera (eastern happy), 4762 nucleotides. NCBI's taxonomy places the organism in Eukaryota, Metazoa, Chordata, Actinopteri, Cichliformes, Cichlidae. The record is from Ensembl.
UGUUUUGUUUAUUUUUUGAUAUUGCUAGGGAUGAUGCAAUGAUCGGGGACCAUUCUUAAUUUCGUUGGUCUCAAGACAAUGACAAUAAAGUUUUUGAUUUUGAUUCUGAUUCUGACAUCCACCCUCCUCAAGAGUUCAAUGAUUUAGGCAGUUAUGUUUAUACAAAUACUAAAUGUAUGUUUAGUGUCUUCAUACAGGUGUUUUUCUUAACCUGGAAACCUGAGUACGGCAGCAGAAGACAGGCCAAGCUUCGGCUAAAAUUCACGGCUGGACACCAGAGUUGUCCUCACCCCUCCCGGAAAAACAAAAAAGAGAGAAUGUAGUUUGAGGCAGGUUUUUCUCGCUGAACUGCUCUGGGUGCUGUCUCCCUGAAUCUCACCAGUGUUAACCUCUGGCGGAAGACAUGGAGAAAAGGAAAAGAUGUUCCUGCCGAAGCUGACCUGGACUCCUACCCUCCCCUCUACCAUCGUUGCCCUCUCCGCGACCAUUUUUGACCCUUUGACCCCUGAAGGCCACAGCAGCUGGACUCACAACAACAAUUUGAGGAUGUCAACAGUGCUGCAAAAGAGUGAUCUCAUGCAGCAGAGACGGAGAGCACUAAACCUAAAGCCCGUUUCACUACACGGGGGAAAUUCCCAGGCUGCGUCAGCUGACAGAGCUGUGACGAGACGCGCAUUAAGCCCGGAGGAAAAGGGAGGGUGAGCAAAAGAAUGCUGACCUCUGAGAAGAGCCGAACGGAAGAGCUGCAGAAGGCCGUGGAGCAGAGUAAGGACAACAUAAACAGACUCCAAUCUGACGUGGAAGGAAAGACUCUGAGGUGUUUGCCCUCAGUAAGAGCUCAAGGCAUCAGAACAGAAACUGAGCACGGCUCCGGAGGAGCUGGCUGCUAAUUGAACUCAUCAGUCAGACUUGGAGUUUCACGUACAGGACUUGUAAUCAGGCGGAAGCUUGCUGGAGCAGGAGGUCGUCAGACUUGACGCAAAGCUCCAACAGCAGGAGUAAACCCUGAAAGACCAUACAGAAGCAAAAGGGUCAAGUUACAAGGAGAAGAUGCAGGCAGCUGCAACAACGGAUGAAAACAGACCCAAAGAGGAGGGGAGGACCCUAGGCCAUGCGUCAGGCCGCUGGUUUACCUAAACUACAGAACAGGAAGGUGAUGAACACAAACAUACACCAACACACGAAUACACACUUCUGCAUGCGCCGACUUAGAAUGAAGAGAAACACACACAUGAACACUUAUGCACUCGCUAAGGGAGUAAAAACUGAUACAUACCCAUGCACUAAAAUCAAAAUGUUGAUUUAAUUUACUAAGAAGUGACACACAAUGCUCCAGCUGCUGCAAUGAAGAAUGCUUUACUGACAAAGGCUCAAUGCUGCACACGACAACGUCAAAUACAGAAUUUGCUAUAAUAAUAAGCCCAGAGGGCAUUUGUGUGGUCUGGGGAGCAGAGUCCGGAGCGGUUUGGUUAUGAAAACGAUGCCCGUGCGAGAUAUCUGGGGCUUAAGGCCUCGACUUAAUUGUUUACUGUACACUAAAAAGAAAAGAAAACCCUCUGAGCAGUGGUGCAGAGUGAAAACGAGGAAUUAACAGUGUGAGUUUUAUUUCAGAGCGCCACGUCAUUGUGAUGGAGAUUUAAUAAAGGAGGAACACACGGACAAAGAAGAAGAGAAAGGGGGGGCAGCCCUUGAACACGAUUGCCUGAGGCAUUAAAGUUCUGUACUAAAUUCGGGUUUCCAGUGUGAGAAAAAGUCACGCAGUGCCAGUAGUAGAGCUAGGUUGAGUGAUGAUUCUAAAUUACUGUAAGGAAAUCAUCGUACACCCGUUCAAGGUUCAUGAUAACGGGGAUCUAGACUUUGUUGAACCCUAGGCAAUUUGAACAGGUAAGAUUCGAGUGACCAAGUAGCAGUUGAAUAAAAGUCAUUGAAUAAGUGUUGAAAUACACUGGCAGAAUUAAGAGAAUUGAAACAUUUCAAGAGCUCAAAUUACUUAAUGGUUCAAUUUUGUUUCACGAACGCAAAACAUAUAGGUUUAUGAAUAUGAAAAGGUUGCAGUGGUGUUGAUUUGACUCUGUGUAGGUUUAGGUUUGGUAUUUUUAUUGAUGGGAGGGAUAUUCAGUGACAAGUCCUAAGACCCGGGCGUCUGCAUUUUGUUUUUGUUAUUUUUCAUUUUAUUUUGUUUUAUAUUUUGAACAGUGCACUGAUUUUUGUUUGUGAAUCUUUUCUUUAAGCAGAUCUGCACAACGGAAAUUACAAGCAUUACACGUCGGCGAGAAAAUUGUUGUAAGUGAGUUUCUCCGCAUUGAAAUGGGUUCUGGAGGAAACACUUGUGGGGACAAUUAGAAACGAGAGUCCCUGUUUAAAAAAGGAUUCAGCGAGGUAAUCCAAAUUCAAGUUCUUGUUUUCUUUUUGAGAUGACGUCAUUUUGCUGAGUGUGGAAACUAAAUGCGACGACAGGUUUCACUAUCAGCAAAGAAAGAAAGAAUGGAUGAAUGGAUGAAAGACUGGGAAUAAAAACAAACGGACUGACUGGUAAAAGAUGACAAGACUUGACCAUGACUCAAGGUUAACCACCUCCACCUAGAUAGGAUAAAAGGGUGGAUGAAUUUAUGUGUGUUUCUUUUACAGGAGUAGAAGGAUGACAAAAUAUUCGAGGAUGAGUGAACCUUUAAAUGCCAUUUUUGUGUCUUGUGUUGUUUACAGAGGUAACUGCGCAGCGUUACCAUUUACAUUUUCUUCCCUACAGGGUUACAGUUUUAAUGUUUUUCUAUUACAGGAUUUCUGGGCGGAUGUGUGAAGAAACGGUGUUUAUGGGUUAGGAGUGGGGGAUGCUAUUACACUGUAUUCUGGUGAGAGUGUUGGGGGAGACACACUCUGUCUUGAAAACUGUGAUUCUUUUACAGGAAAUGUUUUAUAGCACCUAUGGAAUGAGGAUGGCUGACUACGGUCAAUGUGCUGCUGAUGUUUGCUUUGCUUUGGUGAGAAGGGUGCAGUAGAAAACAGACAAGUGACAUGAAAACAAGUAAUAAUAACAAAUAACAAAUUUGGGGACAGUUUGACCUAGAGCCCACUAACUGGCCAUUAGGGGCUCUCGCUCUCUCUCUCUCUCUCUCUUUCUCUCUCUUGGAAUAACAUUGCCCAAAAGGGUGAAUAAAGCAAAUUCUGGCAAUAAUAGUGGUUUAAUGAUUGGGGAAACCUGAACAUGAUACUUGUCUGUUGUGCUGAACCGUUUAUUACUCUUAUGAUUUGCAGGUGGUUGUAAAUAAGCUGUUUACUUUAACAGGUUUGCUUUUUAGCUGAAUUGCAAAAUACAACUAGAACGAUUGAUUGAGACUAAUCGCUACUAACCUGAAACUGAGGAGGUUCUAUAUAAGGAGGAAUUAAAACAGGUAUAAAAUGCAUCUGAUCUUUAAUUGCAGGUGGGACCAUGAAGAUUUUUUGGUACAGAUUGCAAGUUGUUGCUCAUUAUUGAAGUGUGUUCAUAAAGGCCAAAAGCUAUAUAGGGGGUCUAUCAUUUGGUCUGUGUUUUAAUAAUUUAGGUAUGGCAAAAUUAAAGGUUUCUAGACAAUUUAGGGAACGAGUGAGAAGCAUAAUUAGAUGAUCAGAAACUGAGUACUACACUCAUGUUAGAAUUGAGAAUGCCCAAUUUGUUUGAGGUCUGUUGUUCAUUUUUAUACACACCUUGCAAAUGUGCUUAUAAGGAGCUGGCACUUAGUCUGUGAAGGUCAAAAGCUUCAUCCGACAACGGAUCGGAUUGAUAUAUUGGUGCUAUUGACUUCACGUGCAGAGGGUUAAAUGCAUGCACGCUUACACACAUAAGCAUGGCAUAGGAUUGGAAUAAACAAAGUCAACGACAUUAGGUUAGGAGAGCCAGCGCAGGAGAGGUGUUGGCUUUCUGUCUCUUGCAGAGAAGGGAACAAACACCAGACGGGGACACGGAGAUAUGGGGACCCUUCACAGCAACUGGGGUCAAGUGUCAUGGCCUUGGGGCUCCUUGAUAAGAUGGAUCCCAUAACCACAGCGAUAACCAGGAAGGGGUUGGCUAAAACUAGGAACACCAGAGACCAACGUGGUUCGAGAGGCUUUUGGCAAAAAGGGGGACACGGCGGUCACAACGGACAACAAACACACAGAUCUGUGUAGCGACUGAAGGGUGGUCUAACCCCGGAAGUCGAAGAAAGAAGAAUCCGAGGGCGUUUCUUCACUCCAAGAGGAGGGGGUAAAGGGGCCUGAAGCGUGUCAGGCUGAAACUCGAGUCUGAAGCUAAAAGAACAGCUGGGGUGUGGGAAAAUUGGAAAACAACGGAGGCGUUGGGAUUGAUAAGUGUCAUAACGUGUUUGUUUGGUUUGGAAAUAAAUCCUGGUGUGAGUUGGGCUGGCAAGCCAGCCCAAAGAGGAGGAAUGUGACCAGGAGAUAUUUUAUUUUGUAUUCUUAUGAUCACAGUUAUAAUCAGAAGUAUCAAUCAUUAAUCAUUUACCAUUGUUGAACCAGUUGACAGAAUAAUCUUUGAACCAUAUCUAGGUUAACAUUAAUCUACACAGAUUAUCAGUACUCUAAUCAGUCUAUUGUUGUUCUGUACUAUUCAUGUUAUUUGCUUAAAGCUGUUUCACAGUUCUCUGUCCACUCUUUGGAGAUCUGUGGCUGUACGCUUGUCUUCCCAUGCUUCUGUCUUAGAAGUGUGCAAUAAAAUCACUAUGUUUGUCACCUACACGGACUCGGCUGUUUUUCCGUCUUACCCAAACCGAACCAGACGUAACACAAG